GCGGCAGCCAGCCCAGUUCCUUGUGUGCCCUUGUCGCUCGGACGGCGGGUGGGGCUGAAGGCGUUACCAGGCGGGAGCCGCCGGCCCCGGAGCACGCGCCUGCAGAGGGGGAAGAACUUGGUCCGCUGGCUUUCUGAGGAUGAAGACGAAGCUACAGAGAGGUUCCAGCCUGUACCAUGUGGCAGUGAGAAGGAACUGGAGAGGCGGUUGGUCCACCCCGCUCUUUAUCCCCUCAGUCAGAGGCACAAGAUAAACAGUGUUCAACACCUGAAGAUCUAGAAUGGGGCGAUGCCCUCUGCCCUUCUUCAGGAUAAGGAAGUAAGAAAAUGAAUUCCUUCAUAAAAACCAACCCACCAUGUAGACGGACAACAAAGGGAAAAUUUAACUACUGAAAUAUCAUUCAAAUACCAGGAAUAACAAUCUAUUCCAACAGAAGGCUACCCUCUGCACAUAUUCGAUUUUACAAAAUACAGAACCGCAAUUCAAAUAUCUCCCACGUGUCUUAAUCAACAGGUAUGUAUGUUUGCAAACACACACACCUCCAAAACCUAACUGUAUAAACUACUAUAAAGAUAUCUGCUCUUAUAAUGGAACAGCACUUGCAUCCUUUAAGAUCCAGAGCCAGUCCCGUUUCCCAGCAAUGAUGGGAGGAACUAAUUUGCACAGAACUAUUGAAGCCUCACUCAAAUGCAGGCAAUCAUUUAGCUGGAGCUGCUCAAUCUCAAGUCCAAGUUUGUAUUCUCGGUGGCUUUAUCAUAUGUUAGGUAACUUAUGUUGUCUAUCAAAAUGCUUUUACUUUUGUAAGUUGUUUGUUUUUAGGCUGCACUGUAAUUGAGAUACUAAUAUAUCUGAAAAAUACUCAAAUAAAACAGAGUAUAACUGGU
Long non-coding RNA from Chelonia mydas (Green sea turtle), 884 nucleotides. RefSeq lists it as uncharacterized. Lineage: Eukaryota; Metazoa; Chordata; Testudines; Cheloniidae. The transcript is spliced from 4 exons. The record is from RefSeq and is a predicted model, not a curated record.